UCUUUACCUCUCUCUCACGAGUCUCACCCCCUUCGCGAAGCUGCUGCUCCUUCUCCGCUGCUGCUCUCCUUCUCCGCCUAAGCCCCAUCCUUCGCGAAGCUGGGCGCCACCACCGCUGCUUCUCCGCCUGAGCCCCAACCCUUCACGAAGCUGCUGCUGCUUCUCUGCCUGAGCCCCGUCCCUUCGCGAAGCUGCUGCUGCUUCUCCGCUUGAGCCUCGUCCUUCGCGAAACUGGGCGCCACCGCCAGAAGUCGAGCCCCUGCUUCUGCCCGUCCUCAGUCCGUCCGUCCGAGCCCCCUGCUCACCCACGAGAUCUGCAGCCGAGCCCUUGCUUCUGCCCUGCAGCAACUCCAGCGUCGCCCGCGCCACCGCCAGAAGCCGAGCCCCUGCUUCUGCCCUGUAGCAACUCCAGCCCCUUUAGGUAAAGAGAAUGCCCUAACUUGCUACCAUUCCUAUAAAUAUGUAAGAAUUGUGCUUCUUUCAUUCAUAAAGACUAAUGUCCUCCAUUUUGUCCGAGCUAUUCCACCCCAACGAUUACGCCCUUUUCAAAUUGGAUCGACUUGGAGCCCAGUCCGUCAUCAAGUGCAUAUCUAACAAGCAAAGUCCUCCUUCGGUACCAUAUAUAAACAAUGCAUCUUGCUCCAUUAAGCCGAAUCUUCCAAAAAAAAGGUAUUCACGAUUGUACCCGUUUAAAAAUGAGUCACGCGUAUGUUAUUCCACAAUGUCUCUUUCAGUGACUUGGGGUGUCACAUAUCCUCUAUCUUUUUCCUCUUUUCUCCUCCGUGGGGAAACUGUGUAAGUCAAACUCUCCUAGAGAAGUGUGAUAAGGGCCUGCCUUACGUCCAAAGACUCUGAAUAUAUAUCCCCCAAUGCCUCUUGUCGAUUUGUUCCUUUCAAUUUUGGGCGUUUGAACUUUCAAAUAAUUAGUGCUCAACUCUGCAAGUGUCUUUUUCUGUAUCUAAAGCCACGAGCUGGUUUUGCUUCUUUGAAUGCGUGCAAAAAAAGACCUUCAGUUGCAAAAGCCUCAAUACUUUCAAAGGUGGCAUUACUUUCUAAGACAAGGGACUAGUCAAAGAAUAUUGCCUCCUCCUUUUCAAUCACUUUAUAAGAUCAGAUCAGAUGUGAGUGAGCACUAACACAUUACAUGCUGUCCCAUUCAUUUCUUUACCCCUUUUUUUAUAUCGCUCCUGAGGUUUGUCUUCAACCAAGGUGCAAAAUUUGGCUGAUGAAGAUAGGCACAAUUUUAUUCAGCUUUUACAAAAACCGGCUGGCGUGACCAGUCUUUCUCAAUCCGAGUUGUGGUGUGCUCUACGUCCUCGUGUGUGCAGAGAUAUUCUGUGUGAUUUAAUGUUGGGUUGGAUGUUUGUAGGCGGUUUUGUUUUCUAUGGUUGGGAUCUUUGACAGUUAUCAUGGUGGUAUUUGCUGCGAUUAAUGCUGGUCAGUUAAAGUUUCGACUGUUGGACUCGAGUCUGAACCCAACUUUUCUUCUUUGUCUUUUAGCUCAAGUGUCAUGCAUGAGUUGAAGAAGUGGCGGGGUUGAGUUUGGAAAAAAUAUAAGGUUCAAGGACAUCACAGUUUGAAGAGGAAAAGCAGAGCAAAAAGGUACUCUUGUUCCUUCAAUUCUAGUUUCUGCUGUUUGAUGCGUUCAUGUUUUUUUUUUUUUUGGGUGAACUUCUCUUUUCUGAUUUUCAUAGUCUGCUCUCUCAAGUGGUACCAACAGAUAAGGCUCAGUCGAGAGGCUUUCUUUUAUUUGCCUCAAAGAUAAGCCGAUUCUGUGAAAUUUGGGGCCAAAAUUUCUACUGCUGGUUAUGUUAAUGUGACAGCUCUAAAAUGGUGAUUUUCUUUGUAUCUAUGGCUUCAAAUUGGUUAGUCCCAAGGGGGGAGUUAGAAGAAAAAACCAAAGCCUUCCCAGUUGUGCUUGUACUAAGCAUUACCACAAUCGCUAAUUGCCUAUGCUGAUAUCGGCACAGAACACAUCUUUUUGGCUGUCCAGCAACAAAUGCCAAGCACCAUCUACUCAGCUCUUUUCAUCUUCCUUCAUCUAUUCCAUAACUCUGUUGGAGAGCUCUCUGAUGUCGAAAACUUGACAUUGAAAUUUACGUUUCAGCAUUUGUUAGUUGGCCAGUUACCGGAUUUGGUAAGGCAGAACAAAAUGGGACAGCUCAGGGGCUCUGUUGAAACCGUGGGAAAAAAGAACUCACAACAUGAUCAAUAUGAGUGUUAAACGCUUUAUUUUAAAUAUGAGUGCUGUACAUUAAUUUUUGCAAAACAGGUUCCACUAUAAACAGGGUUGACCCUGUUCCCGGACUGGAAAAACAGGGUGGGUCGGGAACAGGGUCCAAUGUAAACAGGGUCGGGAACAGGGUCCAAAAAAAGAGAACCGGUUAUAACAGGGUCGGGAACAGGGUCCAGGUCUAGACCCUACCCACCCUGGACCCGAUCACCCCUAUGAGCCGCGUCUAAGGACCAACAAACGCCCGGAAUCAAGCUGAAAUCAGAGGAGGCAUAAGCGAAAUCUGGUUCGAGCAUUUCUUCAAACACAUGGCGAGCAGCGAGUUGGGGAGCAAAUAUUGACCUGUUUGGAGCUCGAGCGCACGCCCAAACUCAAAAGUAAUCAACGAGCAACGUUCGGAAUCAACAAAAUAACAACUCAUUCAGGUCCAGCACGAGCAAGAACUAAAGAAAUUGAGUCGACUCUCACCUCACUCAAGACGGACAGAACAAUCUUAUAACUCACAUUUGCAUGAAAAAAUCAUAGAUAGCUUAUCCAGGAUGAACAAUCUUACUUGAUGGCACAUGAGACUUGAUGUAUUUAGAAGGCAUUCUGAUCACUGUUAGUGUUGUCAAUAGAAUGAUUUCUCUGAAACAUCACGUUAGACUCUUGGAUCCGCUUCACCAUUCCUGUUGUCAUUGAAUAUGAUUAAAUUUGACUUAAUUAUUUUAUGUAAAAGGAAAGGAGACGAAAAGAAAAUUUUAAAUGACCUUCUCCUCCCCUCUUUCAUCAGAAAAUUUGAAAAUUUGGAUAUUAAGUAUUAUAGACCCAAAAUAAAAUAUACAAAUUAAAGAAAAGAACUAGCAAACCUGGUUCAUUGAAAAAGUUUCCAUGUAAAGGAAAAUAUUUGUCUUUUGUUUUGUUGAAAAUAAGCGUGCUUUGUAAAACUAAGGUUUUCAAUCCAUCGUUUUGUACCUUUUUUUUAACUAAUAAUCCAUCUUUUUAUUUAGUGAUUAAAAAUUAAACCCCCUCUUGUGUAUGUUGCUAAUAUCAAAUUGUCAAUACACCGACAAUAGAAAAUUUUCAAUUGACGAAAACAUAUUUUGUAAUGAAAGAAGCUUGUAACUUACUAAUUUCAUUAACAUUUAUGUAAAUAUGCUAUAGUGCAACACCUAUAAAAUUUGAGAAAAGUUGGUAUCUAACUAAUUUUGGGGACUUUGGUAAAAAUCAUUUUAAGGUUCGUAUUUUACUAAUCACACUUAUAAAAGUUGAAAAAUAUCAAUGAUUCAUUAAAAUGUUGCUAAAUUCUUGUACUUUCCCUUGUAAAGUUACUAUUACCUACCCCCACGAUCCAAAGCUCGAUACAAAAGUACGAUAAUGCGAGCAAUAAUUUGUGUGACUGAUAUUUUACUAAUAUGUCAUAUUUGUAUCUCAUUUUUCAUUUAUGUAUGUCCCAAAUUGUCUACUAUAAUUUUCUCAAGUCCCUUCCACCAUAUUGUGAAAAAAUGCAUUCCACAAUUAGUCCUUAGACAGUUCAACUUGACUUUUAGUGAACAUUGAUAGAAGUUUAAUGACACAGACAAAUGUUUCAAUUUAAACAAAACAUCAGGUGGCUACUUUAUUGCCAUAUUAAUCAUUCGAGAGAGAUUUAUAGAAAAUAGGGUAAUUUGAUUAAAAUGGGGGAAUUAAUGAUAUUUUAUGGCAAAUGGGACACGCUGAUAUCAUGAAUCUAAUCUCUAGAUAUCUUUAAUGUUGUGGAUUUGGUUGUACAAUGGUCAAACCAAGGAUAGGAGAGAGAAGGGAGAGCCAUUUGAGAUAGAAUUUGAUGUAUUCUUCGCGUGCAACUUCUUUGCCUAUGUUACACUAUUCAAUCACUAGGCACUUGACCUGUUGGCGAGAGAGGAGGUCGGGAUAAAGUCAAGACAAGACUUUAGUUAAGUUUAUCAAAUAUAGAUUUGCCAAGUUGAAUUACCAAGAAACUUUGUCAGCUUGAAUGCUUAUAGAAGCACGACAUCAAUCGCCAUAAAAUGGUUUUGGAAUCAACUUGACCAGAACAAAGUAUAAGACAACUGUACAUUGAAGCGCAAGUUCAUGGGCCGAUUUUAUAAACAUUACCAAUACAUAUGAAGUGGUGCUGUAAAAUUGGAAGUGUGCAUAGUACACCCUAUGCUUCAAUACAAUACCAGGAACAUAUCUACGCAUUAAGAACUUGCUCAUGGUACAAACUUGCACAAGAUUUCUAGACAAUUUACAAUGGCUUUCAUUUUCAGGUGAAGCAGAACAGUACAUGAUCCAUUAGCUGGGUCUAACCUUCAUCAUCAGAACCAAAGGGCUGCCUUCUUAAAGAUUCCAGUACUUCUCUGGGACGAUUGCUUGGAGCCCCCCUACCACCUGUCGCUCCAUU
This 4616-nucleotide long non-coding RNA is filed under the name Eucalyptus grandis. RNAcentral's name for it is "long non-coding RNA (EGRA_LNC001273)". Lineage: Eukaryota; Viridiplantae; Streptophyta; Magnoliopsida; Myrtales; Myrtaceae. The record is from RNAcentral.